Molecule: long non-coding RNA, 174 nt
Organism: Thalassophryne amazonica
Lineage: Eukaryota; Metazoa; Chordata; Actinopteri; Batrachoidiformes; Batrachoididae
Exons: 3
Source: RefSeq, a predicted model, not a curated record
GCUUGCAAACCCAAAUUUCAUGUCCGAAGUGGUUGCAGCUGUGGCUGACAUGGGGGGGCAACUGUUGACGAGGCCGCAAGAAGAAUGAUGACCUUCCUCCUAGACCAUGGCCUAGCCAGGCAGUAUAACUUUGAGGCUUGAAGAAAAACUCCUUGACAAGUCACAUCACUCGUA